CCUACGGGUGGCAGCAGUGAGGAAUAUUGGUCAAUGGGCGCGAGCCUGAACCAGCCAAGUCGCGUGAGGGAGGACGGCCCUACGGGUUGUAAACCUCUUUUGCCGGGGAGCAACGGGCGUCACGUGUGGAGCCACUGAGAGUACCCGGAGAAAAAGCAUCGGCUAACUCCGUGCCAGCAGCCGCGGUAAUACGGAGGAUGCGAGCUUUAUCCGGAUUUAUUGGGUUUAAAGGGUGCGUAGGCGGAUCGUUAAGUCAGUGGGUAAUUUGAGGGGCUCAAACCCUUCCCGGCAGUUAAACUGGCGCGCUGGAGUGGAAGAGAAGUAUGCGGAAUGCGUGGUGUAGCGGUGAAAUGCAUAGAUAUCACGCAGAACCCCGAUUGCGAAGGCAGCAUGCCGGCUUCCGACUGACGCUGAAGCACGAAAGCGUGGGGAUCGAACAGGAUUAGAUACCCGUGUAGUC
Molecule: ribosomal RNA, 460 nt
Filed under: uncultured bacterium
Lineage: Bacteria
Description: partial 16S ribosomal RNA
Rfam family: Bacterial small subunit ribosomal RNA
Source: RNAcentral